GGAGAAGCUAGUAAGGGCUUACGGUGGAUGCCUAGGCGCCAAGUGCCGAAGAAGGACGUGGGUCACUGCGAAAAGCCUCGGGGAGCCGUGAACAGGCGUUGAUCCGGGGAUGU
Molecule: ribosomal RNA, 113 nt
Filed under: uncultured Chloroflexota bacterium
Lineage: Bacteria; Bacillati; Chloroflexota
Description: uncultured Chloroflexi bacterium partial 23S ribosomal RNA
Rfam family: Bacterial large subunit ribosomal RNA
Source: RNAcentral